This is a non-coding RNA of Paramuricea clavata, 223 nucleotides long. Lineage: Eukaryota; Metazoa; Cnidaria; Anthozoa; Malacalcyonacea; Plexauridae. The record is from the annotation of a GenBank genome assembly.
CCCUAUACUCCUGACCUUAUUUUACUCGUCAAUGGAGAAGUUCUGCUAGGCAUGUCCCGAUUGUGCUCGGCAACUUUUGAGCAACUUUUUACGUUCGGAGCAAACUACACUCUACAGUUUACUAGUUACUACACUCUUUGUAACGAAAAAUGGUAUGACUAAUUAGCCUCUUCGGCGCUCUGUAGCUAACGGGUUAACCAAAAAAUCUGACAAUGUCUCUAGU